AUGUGGAAAACCAACUGGCCAUGGCAGAUAAGACCAUAUGAUAAAAACAAAUUCCUGGUGAGGUUCCCCCCAAAUAAAAGAAUUGCUGAGUUUGCUGAGUACCCAUCCAUGAAUCUGAAAAGGAAGAAAGCAACUAUAUCUUUCAUGAAAUGGGGAGGAGAAAUGCCAGAAUAUGAGUCCUCGAUAGAAACUUGGAUAGUAAUGGAAGGAUUGCCCCCAAAGUGGAUAAGCUGGAGUGUUAUAGCUCAAGUGGCAUCCAUUUUAGGGGUUCUGGUUAAUAUUGAUUGGCACAUGAUAUUCAGAAGCUUUUAUGAGAAAGUGAGAAUUCAAGUUGCAGUCAGAGACCCCAGCAAAAUACCUACUGAUAGAGUGGUGGAAAUUCAGCAUGAGUUGUAUCUGUUGAGGCUUGCAGUGGAAAAAGAUGCUGAAGAAAGCUCCAAUUCUGACAACCCAUCUGACCCUACUAGCAAUAAGAUUGAAGACACCAAUGUCAACAGUGAUGAUGAUCUGCUGGGAGAAGAAAUGCAAACUGAGAUGGAAAAGUCUGGGAAAAUUAUUAAUACCCCAAGGCCCUCUGCUGCUCCUAGAGGAUCCAAAUCAAAUAGCUACAAAACUCCUCGGGCUACUAUUGAGAAUACUACAGGCUCAAAAACUCAGAGAGCUCCACUGACCAAAAGCUAUUUGGAAGUGGUCCAGAAGAAAACUAGAGAUGAUUUUGGAGAAAAGUUGCUACCUAGCUUUGAAGCUGCUGUAAAUCAAGGUCAUGACAAGGCUGUUGGUCUAAAAAACAACAAAACUGCUAUGAAGUGGGGGCCUAUAGAAGCCACCACAAUGAGUGACAGAAUCAUAAGAGAUGGGAAACCUGCUCUGACCAAGGCCCAAGAAUUGAAGCAGAAGAGAGACUUGGAGAUUCUUAAAGAAUCCCAACCUCUUCCCCCUAACUCCAGGAAUAAAAUUAAAUCUAUUUCAAGUGAGCUGAAUGAUAUCUGGACUAGGGAGGAGAUCAAAGCCAGGCAGAGAUCCAGAGAGAGGGACAUCUUGGAGGGAGAACAUUAUACUGGAUACUUCAAGGCCAUUGCUAACCAAAAAAGGAGUAAGAAACAAGUACUGAUGCUGGAAGGAGAAAAUGUUCCUGUGAAUGAUCCUAAAGGUGAUCGUGAGGAAGACUACAAAAAACCUAUCCUUAUGGGAGGUGGUCAUGCCAGAUGCUGCCAAGCCGGAGCUAAAAGAGAUCGUGCAGAAGCUGGAGCAGGUGGCAAGAAAUCCCCCACCCCUCCUGUGGCCAGAUCGAGGUUGAUUGGGGGAAGAUAUGGGGGAGAACUCUCUGGGAGCGACCUGAUCAUGCUUUGA
Molecule: ribosomal RNA, 1350 nt
Filed under: Triticum aestivum (bread wheat)
Lineage: Eukaryota; Viridiplantae; Streptophyta; Magnoliopsida; Poales; Poaceae
Description: partial small subunit ribosomal RNA
Source: RNAcentral